GCACUGCUGAGGAGUCCCACAACAGGAUGAAACAGCCGUCCAGUGC
This 46-nucleotide non-coding RNA is filed under the name Schistosoma bovis. Lineage: Eukaryota; Metazoa; Platyhelminthes; Trematoda; Strigeidida; Schistosomatidae. The record is from RNAcentral. RNAcentral also lists the same sequence under 1 other name.